GGGGAACUAGCUCACAUGGUAGAGCGCUCGCUUAGCAUGCGAGAGGUACCGGGAUCGAUGCCCGGGUUCUCCA
This 73-nucleotide transfer RNA is filed under the name Hydractinia symbiolongicarpus. RNAcentral's name for it is "transfer RNA alanine (anticodon AGC)". It matches the Rfam family "tRNA". From Rfam's summary of the family: Transfer RNA (tRNA) molecules are approximately 80 nucleotides in length. RNAcentral also lists the same sequence under 2 other names. Lineage: Eukaryota; Metazoa; Cnidaria; Hydrozoa; Anthoathecata; Hydractiniidae. The record is from RNAcentral.